Molecule: ribosomal RNA, 395 nt
Filed under: uncultured bacterium
Lineage: Bacteria
Description: partial 16S ribosomal RNA
Rfam family: Bacterial small subunit ribosomal RNA
Source: RNAcentral
AUACGUAGGGUGCAAGCGUUAAUCGGAAUUACUGGGCGUAAAGCGUGCGCAGGCGGUUUUGUAAGACAGAGGUGAAAUCCCCGGGCUCAACCUGGGAACUGCCUUUGUGACUGCAAGGCUAGAGUACGGCAGAGGGGGAUGGAAUUCCGCGUGUAGCAGUGAAAUGCGUAGAUAUGCGGAAGAACACCGAUGGCGAAGGCAAUCCCCGGGGCCUGUACUGGCGCUCAUGCACGAAAGCGUGGGGAGCAAACAGGAUGAGAUACCCUGGUAGUCCACGCCCUAAACGAUGUCAACUGGUUGUUGGGUCUUCAUUGACUCAGUAACGAAGCUAACGCGUGAAGUUGACCGCCUGGGGAGUACGGCCGCAAGGUUGAAACUCAAAUGAAUUGGCGGGG